AUUUGGUCGUAGACCCGAAACCAGGUGAUCUACCCUUGGUCAGGUUGAAGUUCAGGUAACACUGAAUGGAGGACCGAACCGACUUACGUUGAAAAGUGAGCGGAUGAACUGAGGGUAGCGGAGAAAUUCCAAUCGAACCUGGAGAUAGCUGGUUCUCUCCGAAAUAGCUUUAGGGCUAGCCUCAAGUGAUGAUUAUUGGAGGUAGAGCACUGUUUGGACGAGGGGCCCCUCUCGGGUUACCGAAUUCAGACAAACUCCGAAUGCCAAUUAAUUUAACUUGGGAGUCAGAACAUGGGUGAUAAGGUCCGUGUUCGAAAGGGAAACAGCCCAGACCACCAGCUAAGGUCCCAAAAUAUAUGUUAAGUGGAAAAGGAUGUGGCGUUGCCCAGACAACUAGGAUGUUGGCUUAGAAGCAGCCAUCAUUUAAAGAGUGCGUAAUAGCUCACUAGUCGAGUGACACUGCGCCGAAAAUGUACCGGGGCUAAACAUAUUACCGAAGCUGUGGAUUGUCCUUUGGACAAUGGUAGGAGAGCGUUCUAAGGGCGUUGAAGCAUGAUCGUAAGGACAUGUGGAGCGCUUAGAAGUGAGAAUGCCGGUGUGAGUAGCGAAAGACGGGUGAGAAUCCCGUCCACCGAUUGACUAAGGUUUCCAGAGGAAGGCUCGUCCGCUCUGGGUUAGUCGGGUCCUAAGCUGAGGCCGACAGGCGUAGGCGAUGGAUAACAGGUUGAUAUUCCUGUACCACCUAUA
This 747-nucleotide ribosomal RNA is filed under the name Staphylococcus aureus. Its description in RNAcentral is "partial 23S ribosomal RNA". It matches the Rfam family "Bacterial large subunit ribosomal RNA", at positions 701 to 1452 of the family's 2925-position model. Lineage: Bacteria; Bacillati; Bacillota; Bacilli; Caryophanales; Staphylococcaceae. The record is from RNAcentral.